ACGGCGAGUGACNGGANAAGCUCAAAGUUGGAACCUGUUUGGCCUAGCUAAACCGGAUUGUAAACUGUAGAAGUGUUUUCCAGGCAAGCCGGACCGAUAAGUCCUUUGGAACAGGGCAUCAUAGAGGGUGAGAAUCCCGUCUUCGGUCUGAGCAUUUGCCUUUUGCGAUACACUUUCAAAGAGUCAGGUUGUUUGGGAAUGCAGCCUAAAUUGGGUGGUAAAUCUCACCUAAAGCUAAAUAUUGGCGAGAAACCGAUAGCGAACAAGUACCGUGAGGGAAAGAUGAAAAGAACUUUGAAAAGAGAGUUAAACAGUAUGUGAAAUUGUUAAAAGGGAACCGUUUGGAGCCAGACUGGCUUGUCUGUAAUCAGUCUAAGCUUCGGCUUGGAUGCACUUGCAGGCUAUGCCUGCCAACGACAAUUUGGCUUGAGGGAAAAAACUAAGGGAAAUGUGGCCCAUCCGUGGGUGUUAUAGUCCCUUAGAAAAUACCUUGGGCUGGAUUGAGGUACGCAGCGAAUGCUAUUUGGCGAGUUGGCUGGGAAUAUUUUCUGAGGUGCUUUGGUACUGAGGUUGAUAUUCCUAGUUACACUUCUAUUCGCUUAGGUUGUUGGCUUAAUGACUCUAAAUGACCCGUCUUGAANNACGGACCNNNAU
Molecule: ribosomal RNA, 654 nt
Filed under: Rhizopus microsporus
Lineage: Eukaryota; Fungi; Mucoromycota; Mucoromycetes; Mucorales; Rhizopodaceae
Description: partial large subunit ribosomal RNA
Rfam family: Eukaryotic large subunit ribosomal RNA
Source: RNAcentral